AAGGAUUCCACGCCUUUGCCAACAAGCACUGUAGCAAAUUGGAAUUUCUCUCAUUAAUUUCAAUGGCUUUGUUUCAAGUCAUUAGUGAUGAGAGGACUUACCGUAUCUUCAAUUAAGACACACGUCACUUCAGACAUUGCGAUCUGGAUAAUGCUGGGGCAAAGCUCACACACGGGAAAGGAUACAUGCACAUUCAUGAGCAUCACAAACCAAAUCAACAGUACUCCAGUGUUUUCUGAGAUCCUACCUGCAGAAUUGCCUUCAGCUCUGGGUUCCCAGCACAAGAAGGACAUGAACCUAUUGGAGUGGGUCCAGAAGAGGGCAGUGAGGAUCGUCAGAGGGCUGGAGCCCUUCUGAUGAUCCUCUCCUUCUUUGAGGAGUCAAAUGAAGGGAGCUGGGCUUGUACAGCCUGGAGAAGAGAAGGCUCCAGGGAGAACUCAUUGCAGCCUUCCAGUACUUCAAGAGGGCCUACAAGAAAAGAUGGGGAGGGACUCUUUACUGGGGAAUGUGGUGAUAGGACAAGAGGGGAGAUUUAGGUUUGAUAUAUGAAAUUCUUCUCUAUGACAGUGGUAAGGCAGAGCAACAGGCUGCUCAAAGAAGCUGUGGAUGCCCCAGCUCCAGAGGCAUUCAAGGCCAGGUUGGAUGGGGCCCUGAGCAGCCUGAUAGGGUGGGUGGCAGUCCUGCCCACAGCAGGGGGAGUUGAAACUGAAUGAUCUUAAGAUGUCUUCCAACCCAAGCCAUUGUAUGAUUCUGUGUCUGAUUUGAAAAUGUCAACAUUCUGGCAGUUUAAAACCUUUCUCCCAUACACUCAAAAUAUUUUCCAAUUUGAAAACCCUGUCCAGUAUUUGUGUUUCCAAAACAAUUCAUAUUUUGUGAAAAGAGCCAUUUUUAAAAUAAAAUAAUUUUU
This 907-nucleotide long non-coding RNA is filed under the name Gallus gallus (chicken). RNAcentral describes it as "lncRNA (ENSGALG00010008648.1)". Lineage: Eukaryota; Metazoa; Chordata; Aves; Galliformes; Phasianidae. The record is from RNAcentral.